GGCGGAUGUAGCCAAGUGGAUCAAGGCAGUGGAUUGUGAAC
Molecule: transfer RNA, 41 nt
Filed under: Polygonatum kingianum
Lineage: Eukaryota; Viridiplantae; Streptophyta; Magnoliopsida; Asparagales; Asparagaceae
Description: partial tRNA-His
Source: RNAcentral